ACAAACGCUGGCGGCGUGCUUAACACAUGCAAGUCGCACGGAAAGGCCCUGCUUUUGUGGGGUGCUCGAGUGGCGAACGGGUGAGUAACACGUGAGUAACCUGCCCUUGACUUUGGGAUAACUUCAGGAAACUGGGGCUAAUACCGGAUAGGAGCUCCUGCUGCAUGGUGGGGGUUGGAAAGUUUCGGCGGUUGGGGAUGGACUCGCGGCUUAUCAGCUUGUUGGUGGGGUAGUGGCUUACCAAGGCUUUGACGGGUAGCCGGCCUGAGGGGGUGACCGGCCACAUUGGGACUGAGAUACGGCCCAGACUCCUACGGGAGGCAGCAGUGGGGAAUAUUGCACAAUGGACGGAAGCCUGAUGCAGCAACGCCGCGUGCGGGAUGACGGCCUUCGGGUUGUAAACCGCUUUCGCCUGUGACGAAGCGUGAGUGACGGUAAUGGGUAAAGAAGCACCGGCUAACUACGUG
Molecule: ribosomal RNA, 467 nt
Filed under: uncultured bacterium
Lineage: Bacteria
Description: partial 16S ribosomal RNA
Rfam family: Bacterial small subunit ribosomal RNA
Source: RNAcentral